Molecule: unclassified non-coding RNA, 313 nt
Filed under: uncultured fungus
Lineage: Eukaryota; Fungi
Description: partial contains 5.8S ribosomal RNA and internal transcribed spacer 2
Rfam family: 5.8S ribosomal RNA (bases 1-133)
Source: RNAcentral
UGGUUCUGGCAUCGAUGAAGAACGCAGCGAAAUGCGAUAAGUAAUGUGAAUUGCAGAAUUCAGUGAAUCAUCGAAUCUUUGAACGCACAUUGCGCCCUGUGGUAUUCCGCAGGGCAUGCCUGUUCGAGCGUCAUUUAGACCACUCACGCGUAGCGUGGUAUUGGGGCACGCGGUUCCGCGGCCCUCAAAACCAGUGGCGGCGCCGGUAGGCCCUAAGCGUAGUAAAUCUCCUCGCUAUAGGGUCCUCUCGGUGGCUCGCCAGAGCCCCCAACUUCUGAAGGUUGACCUCGGAUCAGGUAGGGAUACCCGCUGA